RNAcentral lists this ribosomal RNA (506 nucleotides) under uncultured bacterium. RNAcentral describes it as "partial 16S ribosomal RNA". It matches the Rfam family "Bacterial small subunit ribosomal RNA", at positions 29 to 523 of the family's 1533-position model. The record is from RNAcentral.
AGUGAACGCUGGCGGUAGGCCUAACACAUGCAAGUCGAACGGCAGCACAGGAGAGCUUGCUCUCUGGGUGGCGAGUGGCGGACGGGUGAGGAAUACAUCGGAAUCAACUCUGUCGUGGGGGAUAACGUAGGGAAACUUACGCUAAUACCGCAUACGACCUACGGGUGAAAGCAGGGGACCUUCGGGCCUUGCGCGAUUGAAUGAGCCGAUGUCGGACUAGCUAGUUGGCGGGGUAAAGGCCCACCAAGGCGACGAUCCGUAGCUGGUCUGAGAGGGUGAUCAGCCACACUGGAACUGAGACACGGUCCAGACUCCUACGGGAGGCAGCAGUGGGGAAUAUUGGACAAUGGGCGCAAGCCUGAUCCAGCCAUACCGCGUGGGUGAAGAAGGCCUUCGGGUUGUAAAGCCCUUUUGUUGGGAAAGAAAUCCAGCUGGCUAAUACCCGGUUGGGAUGACGGUACCCAAAGAAUAAGCACCGGCUAACUUCGUGCCAGCAGCCGCAGUAA